ACUCAAAGGAAUAGACGGGGACCCGCACAAGCAGCGGAGCGUGUGGUUUAAUUCGACGCAACGCGCAGAACCUCACCCAGAUUUGACAUGGAGCUGCAAGCCGGUGAAAGCCGGUCGCCUUCGAGGGUGCUCCACCGGUGCUGCAUGGCUGUCGUCAGUUCGUGUCGUGAGAUGUUGGGUUAAGUCCCGCAACGAGCGCAACCCUCGUCACCAGUUACUCGUGUCUGGUGAGACUGCCCUUCGGGGAGGAAGGUGGGGAUGACGUCAAGUCCGCAUGGCCCUUACGUCUGGGGCAACACACACGCUACAAUGGCGCCGCUAAUGCGUCGCGAGUGGGCAACCACGAGCAAAUCGGCAAACGGCGUCCCAGUGCAGAUCGGGGGCUGAAACUCGCCCCCGUGAAGGCGGAGUUGCUAGUAACCGCGUAUCAGCAUGGCGCGGUGAAUACGUACCCGGGUCUUGUACACACCGCCCGU
RNAcentral lists this ribosomal RNA (476 nucleotides) under uncultured bacterium. RNAcentral's name for it is "partial 16S ribosomal RNA". It matches the Rfam family "Bacterial small subunit ribosomal RNA", at positions 899 to 1397 of the family's 1533-position model. The record is from RNAcentral.